Molecule: transfer RNA, 71 nt
Filed under: Hypseleotris klunzingeri (western carp gudgeon)
Lineage: Eukaryota; Metazoa; Chordata; Actinopteri; Gobiiformes; Eleotridae
Description: tRNA-Tyr
Rfam family: tRNA
About the family: Transfer RNA (tRNA) molecules are approximately 80 nucleotides in length. Their secondary structure includes four short double-helical elements and three loops (D, anti-codon, and T loops).
Source: RNAcentral
GGUAAGAUGGCCGAGUGUUUAGGCGGUGGAUUGUAGCCCCAUAUACAGAGGUUUAAGUCCUCUUUUUACCA